GGUAUAUUUCCUGUCAGCACACGCGGGUAAUAUCGUAGAGUGGCAAGAGCUUAUAAUGGAAUUUUCUGGGCUGUAGCGCGCAUACGGCGGGGUUUUUUAGUGUCGAUAUGAAAACCCCCGGCUCUACACCCUGGAGGAGUCGCUUGUAAACUGGACAGCUUAGAGCAGAAGAGGGGAAGGGGAAUUCCCCAGUGUAGCGCUGAAAAGCGCAGAGAUAUGGAGGGCAUCAGUGGCGAAGGCGCGUCUUCUGGUCUGUGAUUGUCACUGAUGUGUGAGAGCGUGGGGAUCACAACACAGAUUAGAUAUCCCGUGUAGUGCACACGCGUAUAACGAUGAGUGCUAAGUGAGAUGGGGGUCUCCGAGCCGUGAGCUUUCGCAGCUAACGCAUUAAGUACUCCGCCUGGGGAGUACGAGUCGCAAGAUUGAAACUCAAAUGAAUUGACGGGGACCCGCACAAGCGGUGGAGCAUGUGGUUUAAUUCGAAGCAACGCGAAGAACCUUACCAAAUCUUGACAUCCAGAGACCCUUCCAGAGAUAGAAGUUUCCCCUUGGGGGGUCAAAGACACAGGUGGCACAUGGUUGUUCACAUCUCGUGUCGAAAGAUUGGGGUAAAUGUCCCACCGAGAGCGCCCCCCUUCCUUUUUGUCCCCAUCAUUAAGUCGGGCACUCCAAGGAGACUGCCGGUGACAAACCGGAGGAAGGUGGGGAUGACGUCAAAUCAUCAUGCCCCUUAUGAGUAGGGCUACACACGUGCUACAAUGGCCCAUACAAAGGGCAGCCAAACCGCGAGAUCAAGCAAAUCCCAAAAAGUUGUUCUCAGUUCGGAUCGUAGUCUGCAACUCGACUCCAUGAAGUCGGAAUCGCUAGUAAUCGUGGAUCAGCAUGCCACGGUGAAUACGUUCCCGGGUCCUGUACCCCCCCCCGUCCCCCCCGAGAGUUGUCUCUACAGUAUGCUAGGUGGCUUAGCCAGUCGUAGCAAGGUAGCCGUAGAGUACUCCCC
RNAcentral lists this ribosomal RNA (1000 nucleotides) under Staphylococcus hominis. Its description in RNAcentral is "bacterial SSU rRNA". It matches the Rfam family "Bacterial small subunit ribosomal RNA", at positions 495 to 1515 of the family's 1533-position model. The record is from RNAcentral. Lineage: Bacteria; Bacillati; Bacillota; Bacilli; Caryophanales; Staphylococcaceae.